CAAAGCGUCAGCUCGCGUGCUUGAUUUUAGCACCGAUUUACAACUCCGACGUUGCUAACGAUGGCUUUUAAUGAGCAGCUCAAGUUUCCAUUUGUUUACGGAGCCUGCUGACUGACAGAUCGAUAGAUGGAGAAAUAAAGCACGUGGAUUGCUUCCAGGUGAGGCAACCCGGAAGGAGGGAAAAGACAGAUUCAUAACAAGAAAAGCCAUCGCUGAGAUUUUGGCUUUUGAGGAAGAUUCCUCUAAGCAGGUGUCGUUGAACUCUGCUGUCAUGUCCGCAGCGGGGCCGGUGUGGCUCAUCGCCUUCACUUCAAUUUGAAUCAAUCCUUUCUCAAGAUGACAGCCAUUAUCUGCUCUAAAUGUUUCCAACCCGAGUGCCGUGGAAUAUUGAGAAUAUCACAUAAUUGGCUGCAAAUUAUUAAUUUACAGUAAUCUCGUUUGUUGGGGACCCGCCCAUUCCAUUAGAGGAAAUCUACAACCUACCAACCACAUAUUUGUGUUAUUUAUAGACUAUAAAGAGGAAACCAAUUUAUCAUACUAAUUAUGGAGAGAGGUCACCACAUCAGAGGCGAUUGCCCAUUAAAUGGGAUUCCGUUAUUUCUGGACUAUAAACCGCACCAGCUGGAAUUUGGGAAAAAUCCAGUUUUGUUCAUAUGUAAACCGUACCGGACUAUAAGAGUUCAAAGCUUUUUUUGCAGUCCAAAAACAUUCUCAUGUUCUUUAGUAGUGUAUCUGUGACUGAAUGCAUGUUACUUGCCAGGCCUUUUGAUGUAUAUCAGAGUCAGCCAAUGAGAUUGUAGCAUUUGCCUGCAGUUGUUCUUUACAAUAGGUGCUUUGCACUUGAGCGUCUUUUGUUCUGGGUGAAAUAUGAUCUUGAACUCUGGACUCUUUCUUUUAUGUAACAAUUCAUGUGGAAAAUAAUCCUGCAAUAUAACGUGAAAUGUUAUAAUACAAUGUGCCAAGGAAUAGCUCUAUUGCAAAUAAUUUAAAUCAACUAUCUAUGUUAACAAUGUAUUAUGACAUGCAUUAAGUAAAAGUUCUAUGUUUCAUGAUAAUUGCUGAAAGCAUGCAAGGACAGAAAACUAUUGUAUGUAUUACACAUUUUUUAAAAUAUGACAUAUUUUCACAAUUUCAGUUUAACACGCUAAUACGGUGCCCAGGGACAGAAAGACUACUUUGAUUAUUCACCAUUCACCAAGCCACAUUAAUUCCAAUUAAAGACUAAAUUGGCAGGUUUAUUAACAACACUCUGUUGUUACUCUUGUUAGAACGAAAAUUAAACGUUUUUACUUUUUUUAUUUUUUACUGUUGGUGUUAUAUUUUCGAUAAAGUAUCUGGCUGCUCAAAGGUUGGGAAAAUUGCACUAAUGUUGUACCCAAAGCAAAAGCGCCAUCUGCUGUUUUUGCAGUGAAUCAAUAUAUUGUCAUUACUUCAAAUGAAAUUGUGAAAUUGCUUAAAUCUGCCAUAGUGUUCUAAUUUCCUUGUAAAUACCUCAGAGCAAGAAUCUCGGAAUCUGGCAGGCUGUAAAAGAAUGCAGCAAUGUAGGGAGGACAAGACAUUUCUCACUCGCAUUUGAAGAGGCCGUCAAUCUGGAUCAUGCCAAUCCGCCCUCAAAUAUAGCUCAUAGAUUGGAACACAGUGCACCAAUCAAAAUUUGAUGGACAUGAUUUGAAAGUCUUUUACUGACCUCUUGUGGCCAAACAUGGUAAAUGUAAAGCAUAUGGUAGAAUACUGUCAAUGAAGAUUGUCCCCGACUGCUCUUGCAGUGGCAUAGCAAGGAAUUUUUCCGGUAGGGGCGCGCGCCCACAGGAAAAAAAAAUCGAACAUCACCCACGCCGUUCGCUGAUCACUAAAACAACAUCCGGGUCCGGGAGGCAAACGGUGAAUGGAUAACAUCGCGCACAUAGAAUAGCGCAAGCACAUUCGCGCAAGACCGAAAGAAAAAAACGGCAUGAAAAUGAAGAAUCGAAAAAGCUCGAUUUUUUUCAACCGGGGCGCAGGGAGUCCUAACCGGGGCAAGAAACAGCGCUGGCAAGAUUUUCUCCAAAAAUUAAUUUAUUGAAUAAAUGAAUAAAAACUUUCUAAACACUGUAAAUGUAUCUUUAGAGAGUUAUAAUUCUCAUCAGAUCAUCUAGUAUAAUACUUGUAUCAAUGCUGAUUUUUAGGAAAUUUAAAAAAAUUUACAGUUCAAAAUCUAUGUAAUUUUGUGCAAACAUAGUAAAGACAAAUAAAAUGGUUUUUCCAGUGAUUAUUAGAAGAUUGCUGUAAUUUUGCUCCGUUUGUCUAAAGUCCGGCAAGAUUAACAAGUAACUUGUAUGUUAACUGUUUUUUUUCUUUUUGUUUUUUUUUUGCAUUUGUAAGGCCUGAGAUAUAAAGCUGCCAGUCAUAGUGCAGA
This is a long non-coding RNA of Syngnathus typhle (broad-nosed pipefish), 2395 nucleotides long. RefSeq lists it as uncharacterized. The record is from RefSeq and is a predicted model, not a curated record. The transcript is spliced from 3 exons. Lineage: Eukaryota; Metazoa; Chordata; Actinopteri; Syngnathiformes; Syngnathidae.